Molecule: non-coding RNA, 27 nt
Filed under: Mus musculus (house mouse)
Lineage: Eukaryota; Metazoa; Chordata; Mammalia; Rodentia; Muridae
Source: RNAcentral
UAACAGCUUCAGCAGCACAAUGCCCGU